Small nuclear RNA from Myodes glareolus (Bank vole), 103 nucleotides. The record is from RefSeq and is a predicted model, not a curated record. Lineage: Eukaryota; Metazoa; Chordata; Mammalia; Rodentia; Cricetidae.
UUGCUUUGGCAGCACCUAUUCUAAACUUUGACUGAUACAGAGGUGAUUAACAUGGCCCCCAUAUCAGGAUAACACACAAAUUGGAAAACAAUUCUAUAUUUUU